Apaloderma vittatum (bar-tailed trogon) is the source of this 73-nucleotide non-coding RNA. Lineage: Eukaryota; Metazoa; Chordata; Aves; Trogoniformes; Trogonidae. The record is from Rfam.
GGCCGGUUAGCUCAGUCAGUUGAGCGUAACGCUAACAACGCUAAGGUCACGGGUUCGAUUCCCGUUCAGUCCC